Molecule: transfer RNA, 70 nt
Filed under: Dipodomys ordii (Ord's kangaroo rat)
Lineage: Eukaryota; Metazoa; Chordata; Mammalia; Rodentia; Heteromyidae
Rfam family: tRNA
About the family: Transfer RNA (tRNA) molecules are approximately 80 nucleotides in length. Their secondary structure includes four short double-helical elements and three loops (D, anti-codon, and T loops).
Source: Rfam by way of RNAcentral
GGGGAUGUGGCUUAGUGGUAGAGUGCUUGCCUAGCAUGCAGGAAGCCCUGGGUUCAAAUCCUCAGUACCA